UUUUUCCAAAUGACAUCAUACCAGGAAGCCCUGUUCGGAAAACAAAAGAUAAGCUGCCCCUUGGUGAAGUGAGGAGAGCCAGAGCCUCCCUCCCCUUAGCACUUGCAGCAGUGUAGACCCCAGGGCUGCGGGAACGUUGUGAAACGCACAGGACCAGUUUCCUACAGGGAAGACUAGGCCAGAGGUUUUCCAACUUCCUUCAAAGGCAUUUUUCCUAAAUAAAUCUUAAACAGACCGCUAUACUCUAAAGUUGGUAAUAGGAGAGCUUCUCUGAGAAACCUGUCCUGCCUGCCCCCUCACCACCCGCAGCCUUCCAGCAGGGCAGCUCCCUGGGGCUUGGUUCAGAAACCUUGUGCUGGAGGAGAGAUGCCUAGACUGGGAGAGAUGGGGAAAGGAGUUUGGGCCUGAGCGGGAAGGGUUUGAGGGAGUCCCAGUGUCUCAGGCAUGUUGGGGGUGAGUGGAUGCUGUGGAGAUGCGAGGCGCCUGGCCCAGGACUCGGGUCUGAGUCGCCUCCCAUCUCUCCUUUGCCAUCCCCAGAUCCCCGACCAUUUCCGGCCACCUUUGAGGAAACCAGGGAAGUGGUGUGCCAUGCACGUGCGUGUGGCUUACAUGAUCCUGAGACACCAGGAGAAAAUGAAGGGUGACUCCCACAAGCUUGACUUUCGGAACGACCUCCUGCCCUGCCUUCCGGGGCCCUAUGGGGCCCUGCCCCCUGGGCAGGAGCUCUCCCACCCGGCCUCCCUCUUCACUGCGACUGGUGCCGUCCACGCUGCAGCCAACCCUUUCACGGCAGCUCCCGGGGCCCACGGACCCUUCCUGAGCCCCAGCACCCACAUUGAUCCCUUUGGGCGUCCCACAAGCUUCGCCUCUUUGGCUGCCCUCUCCAACGGGGCCUUUGGAGGCCUGGGCAGCCCCACAUUCAACUCCGGCGCCGUCUUUGCCCAGAAAGAAAGCCCAGGGGCCCCACCAGCCUUCGCCUCCCCACCGGACCCAUGGGGCCGCCUGCACCGCAGUCCUCUGACCUUUCCUGCCUGGGUCCGGCCCCCUGAGGCCGCCCGGACUCCAGGCUCAGACAAGGAGCGGCCUGUGGAGCGGAGGGAGCCCUCCAUCACCAAGGAGGAGAAGGACAGGGACCUCCCCUUCUCACGGCCCCAGCUCCGAGUUUCUCCUGCUACUCCCAAGGCCCGGGCUGGUGAGGAGGGGCCUCGGCCAACCAAGGAAUCUGUGCGGGUAAAGGAAGAGCGGAAGGAGGAGGCUGCCGCCGCCGCCGCUGCUGCUGCUGCCGCCGCCGCUGCCGCCGCCGCAGCAGCCACUGG
This 1316-nucleotide small RNA is filed under the name Pan troglodytes (chimpanzee). RNAcentral describes it as "retained intron". The record is from RNAcentral. Lineage: Eukaryota; Metazoa; Chordata; Mammalia; Primates; Hominidae.